Molecule: long non-coding RNA, 537 nt
Organism: Octopus sinensis (East Asian common octopus)
Lineage: Eukaryota; Metazoa; Mollusca; Cephalopoda; Octopoda; Octopodidae
Exons: 3
Source: RefSeq, a predicted model, not a curated record
GCCAGGCAUUUAAAAAAAAUCUUAAAAAAAAAAAAAAUUGCAGACGGGAAAAAGUUAAUGCUCUCCUCCACCGCGCUACCGUACGGCCAUUCCAAAUAUAAUUCCUUUUAUCCAAAUAUGGAAUGACUUUGAGGGCAAAUUUUUAAGAAAGAGGUGAUAUAAUUAAUAGCUCUGACGAUGUUGAGGCUGGUGCUGAUAACGAGAUGGAGGAGAAGGAUGAGAAUGAAGAUGGCGACAACGAUGACGACGACGGCGACGUCGACUAUUACUACUACUACUACUACUACUACUACUACAUAACGACGAUUAUGAUGCCGAUGACGACGAUGAUGAUGAAGAGCAGGCUGAGUAUGACGAUGAUGAUGAUGAUGAUGAUGAUGAUGAUGGUUGUGGUUACUAUUUAUGAUAAUACUUUCAUGCCAUCUUCGAUGGAAAACUCUUUAAAUAUCGGCAGCAGUUUCACUCUAUAGUCACAUAAUUUAAACUGUUUACAAUACAUACAUACGUAUAUACAUACAUACGUAUAUACAUACAUAC